RNAcentral lists this ribosomal RNA (468 nucleotides) under uncultured bacterium. Its description in RNAcentral is "bacterial SSU rRNA". It matches the Rfam family "Bacterial small subunit ribosomal RNA", at positions 917 to 1382 of the family's 1533-position model. The record is from RNAcentral.
GGGCCCGCACAAGCGGUGGAGCAUGUGGUUUAAUUCGACGCAACGCGAAGAACCUUACCUGGGCUCGAACGGCGGAGUAAGGCGGAUGAAAGUCCGCGUCCUCUUCGGAGGGACUUCGUCGAGGUGCUGCAUGGCUGUCGUCAGCUCGUGUCGUGAGAUGUUGGGUUAAGUCCCGCAACGAGCGCAACCCUUGUCACUAGUUACCAGCGGGUCAUGCCGGGGACUCUAGUGAGACUGCCGGCGCAAGCCGGAGGAAGGUGGGGACGACGUCAAGUCAUCAUGGCCCUUACGUCCAGGGCUACACACGUGCUACAAUGGCGAGAACAACGCGCUGCAAGCCCGCGAGGGCAAGCGAAUCGCUCAAAGCUCGCCUCAGUUCGGAUUGGAGUCUGCAACUCGACUCCAUGAAGCUGGAAUCGCUAGUAAUCGCGCAUCAGCUACGGCGCGGUGAAUACGUUCCCGGGCCUU